Long non-coding RNA from Piliocolobus tephrosceles (Ugandan red Colobus), 1885 nucleotides. RefSeq lists it as uncharacterized. Lineage: Eukaryota; Metazoa; Chordata; Mammalia; Primates; Cercopithecidae. The record is from RefSeq and is a predicted model, not a curated record. The transcript has 3 exons.
UCUUCAGCAGGGGAGAUGUUCUUAUAAAAAGCAGAAAGUGGAACCUGCCCUAGGAGGGGACAUAAAGGGGAGGAGCGAUGACACAUCAUCCAGAAAUACCAGCUGUUGUCAUCGGAAACCAGUCAGCCAGAGCUGAAGAAAAGGCAUGAGUUGGCCUCUCCUCACUAUCCUAUGGCCCUCCUGACCCUCGCUCCUACCUCCUUGUGGGCAGCCGAGUUGGACUCCCAGAAGCGCUGCACUUUGCUGAAGGUGACGUUUGUGCAGUCGGAAAGGCCACUCAGGAAAGUGCCCGAGGACUUCUCGGUGACAGCCAGCUCUGCUUCUUCUUCCAUGGGCGUCUCGGGGACUUCGCUUUUGCCCAAGCGCAAGGACCCUGACUGCAGCUCAUUAUGUAACUUCACAGCAUCGACUGUCAGGUCACUCCUUCCUGAGAGCCAGAGGCACAAGAUAAGGCCCAAAUCUCCUUUUGGUCAAGAGAACAGAACCCCUGGGAAACAAACCAGCUCAGGCCAAAUCGCCAACCCGAGAGGCUGAAUUCUGAAUACAGCCAGUCUCAUAAACCCACUGUAUGCCUAAAAACUUGAAAAACCAAGGAGAAAGGGAAUCCUCCAUGUAAGAGUUUCUGCUUGCCUGUAGCAGUGGCAUAAACGCCACUGGGAAUCGGCUGGGAGCUACAUUGAGAGGGCCUGGAAAAUAAAUGAAGGUGAAAGCGCUCUGUAGAGUUAUCCAAGGUCCAAGCCAUCAGUCUCAACUCUGACACCCGCGGUACCUUACACAAGACAUUUCCCUACUGCGGACCUCAGUUUUCGUAUCUGCUAAAUUGGAAGGGCUGCCCUUCAGAGAGGGCUCCAGAUCCGACAUCCUAAGAGAUGAAAGGUCCAAUGCCUGGCCCCGGACUCUCCCAGAGGCACCAGACUCAUCUGGACCCAGGUCUGCCCGGAAACCCGCCGCCGGCUGAGCGUGGGUCCCAACCCAGCUACCUGACGGCCGGCUGAAGAAGCGGCUGCGGGCGGCCUGGCGGUGGCGGCAGAUGGCGGGAUUGCUGUCGCUGCUGUGGCCUUUCUUCCAGCGCUUCAACUUAGCUGAGACACCAGAGGGCAACUUUCCCGAGCGACCCAUGUUGACUAAGCCGUGGCCGGCACUGAGCUUAAACGACCGGCUUCCAGGCUGGUCAACAUUGAGCCUGCUCUGGAUGACAGCUCUGGGAGACUGGAUAUUUUCCUUCACUGCAGUCAGAAAUAUAACAGCUCCUGCAUGUAAACUCAGCACUUCGGGAGGCCGAGGCGGGAGGAUCACCUGAGCCGGGAAGUUUGAGGCUGCAGUGAGCUAUAAUCAUGCCACUGCACUCCAGCCUGGGUGACAGAGAAAGACUCUGUCUCAAAAAAAGAAAAAAAGGAAUAUAACAACCACCAGUUCCCCUGUUCCACCUCUGACAAAAUCCUUAAUAUUGGAUACUUGGCCACCUUGCCAUCAGCUGACAGAACCUGAGUCUUGAGGCAUCAUCUGGGCUCACGCCCUCUAUGAGGCAUAAAUCCUCUCCUCUUCAGACACCAGCUGAGCUGGGAGAUGUGAACAACAGGCGAUGAGUUUGCAAGAUGGUUCAACUAUGGACAUGUGGUGUCCUCACAGGAGUCCUGUGGGCUGAACGGCAGCUGCCCCUCCUUCCACCCAGCACAAAACUUGGUUUGUCUCGCUCACUCUAAAUCUGGGCCUUCAAUGAAUGUUCAGUCCUUGAUGAGGGAGUUCUGUGGAAAAAAAAAAAAAAACCGGAAAGGAAGGCUGGAGAGGACUUUAUUAGCCUAAGGGGCAAUGGAAGGUAAAAGGGCUGUGACUCCUGGUUAGCUUUUUUUUUUAUUGUUUUUUGUUUUGUUUUGAUUUUUUUUCU